Molecule: small nuclear RNA, 104 nt
Organism: Prolemur simus (greater bamboo lemur)
Lineage: Eukaryota; Metazoa; Chordata; Mammalia; Primates; Lemuridae
Source: Ensembl
GUGCUUGCUUUGGCAGCACAUAUAAAAUUGGAAUGAUACAGAGAAGGUUAGUAUGGCUCCUGCGUAAGGAUGACCUGCAAAUUUGAGAAGUGUUCCAGAAAAAA